Molecule: ribosomal RNA, 460 nt
Filed under: uncultured bacterium
Lineage: Bacteria
Description: partial 16S ribosomal RNA
Rfam family: Bacterial small subunit ribosomal RNA
Source: RNAcentral
CCUACGGGCGGCAGCAGUGAGGAAUAUUGGUCAAUGGACGAGAGUCUGAACCAGCCAAGUAGCGUGAGGGAUGAAUGCCCUAUGGGUUGUAAACUUCUUUUAUAUGGGAAUAAAGUGUGCCACGUGUGGGGUUUUGUAUGUACCAUAUGAAUAAGUAUCGGCUAACUCCGUUCCAGCAGCCGAGGUAAUACGGAGGAUCCGGUCGUUAUCCGGGUUUAUUGGGUUUAAGGGGAGCGUAGGUGGAUUGUUAAGUCAGUUGUGAAAGUUUGCGGCUCAACCGUAAAAUUGCAGUUGAAACUGGCAGUCUUGAGUACAGUAGAGGUGGGCGGAAUUCGUGGUGUAGCGGUGAAAUGCUUAGAUAUCACGAAGAACUCCGAUUGCGAAGGCAGCAUACCGGCGCCCGACUGACGCUGAGGCACGAAAGCGUGGGGAUCGAACAGGAUUAGAUACCCUGGUAGUC